GCGAGAGCUGGGCGGGGCCGGGCUCCAAGGUCCCGGCAGCCCCGAUGUCCCGCCAGUAGCGCGGGCUGGAGGGAGGCAGCGGCUGCAGGAUGGAGCGGGACGCGGGGCAGGGGCCGUCCGCCUUCGAGCUGCCCAAGGUAGAACUUCAUGUUCACCUGGAUGGAGCCAUUAAGCCAGAAACAAUCUUAUACUUUGGCAAGAAAAGAGGAAUUCCGCUCCCUGGUGACACUGUUGAAGACCUCUUGCAGCACAUCAGUUACUCGGAGCCACUCACUCUCACCCAGUUUCUAGAAAAGUUUGCUCUCUACAUGCCUGCCAUUGCGGGGGACCGCGAUGCUGUGAGAAGAAUAGCCUAUGAGUUUGUAGAAAUGAAAGCAAAAGAAGGUGUCAUCUAUGUUGAGGUCAGGUACAGCCCUCAUCUCCUAGCCAACUGCAAAGUUCAUCCUCUUCCAUGGGGCCAAAAAGAGGGCGACCUCACUCCGGAGGAAGUGGUUCACCUCGUUAAUCAGGGAUUACAGGAUGGAGAAAGGGAUUUCAACAUCAAAGCCAGGUCUAUUCUAUGCUGCAUGCGCCAUAUGCCAAGCUGGUCGUUGGAGGUGGUGGAGCUGUGUAAGAAAUACCAGAACAAUACGGUGGUAGCCAUAGACCUGGCUGGGGAUGAGCUGUUGGUGUCUGAGACCUUCCCAGAGCAUAGGAAGGCUUAUGAGGAAGCUGAAAGAUGUGGCAUUCAUCGCACUGUCCAUGCUGGGGAAGUUGGGCCACCCUCUGUCAUCAAGGAGGCAAUCAAUGUCCUGAAGACAGAACGGAUCGGCCACGGCUACCAUGUCCUGGAAGACCCAGUCCUUUAUAGGGAGCUGUUGAGUAGGAAGAUGCAUUUUGAGACCUGUCUUUUGUGCAGUGUCCUCACCGGGGCGUGUGGUCCAGACUUUAGGAAACACCCAGUAAUUCAGUUUAGGAAAGAUAAAGCCAAUUACUCCCUGAACACUGAUGGCCCGCUCAUUUUGAACUCUACAAUUGAGACUGAUUACAAAAUAGCUAAGCAGUUCCUGGACUUCACUGAAGAGGAGUUCAAGAGAGUGAACAUCAAUGCAGCUCAGUCCAGCUUCCUGCCUAAGGAAGAAAAGAAGGAGCUUCUCAGUAAACUGUAUGAAGCCUACGAGAUGGUCCCAGACAACCCAUCCUAAUCCUGCUUCUACCAGCCAGCAAGCUGCCUGAUCUGCGUGGCCCAGGCCAGGUGGGAAGUGACAUGGCCACUUUGGACAAGAGGAAUGUUGGUUUUGCUGUAGCAUGCUGCUGAUGUCUGUUGUUUCCUCUGGAGCCACCAGAGCUGGCCUGCAAGGAAUCGCAAUAUUUGUUUCUUGAGACUCAUGUAUUAUGUGGCAGGGAACAGGCUUCAGAGCCGCCCUGCAAGGAAUUAACGGAACUAUCAGGCUUAGCAGCUGGGACUGUGAUUUUGCAGCCAUGGACUUCACUAGACUCUGGUGCAGCAAAGGAUAACAAAGCAUGUGACAGUGAGGAGCCCCAAGGUGUCCUGGGGCUGAUUGUUGUUCUUUAGCUUGUGAUCAAAGGGAACAGGGGAAAUGGCAUUCUCAGGGGGCUGUGUGAACCAAUCCUCAAGGCUGAUAACAUAGGGACACAAUCACCACAGCAGCUGAGUGCUGCUUAACUGUGCACCCACUAAAUGUUCCAGUGAAAAAAACAAACAGCAGAAAGGACUGUUAGGAACUCCUGCACAGCAAGGAAAUAACCUCUCCUUUCAGAAAGACCUGACCUGCUUCUGACUUAAGUGCAGUCUGAAUUUAGUUCUCCAAAAAAGGAUCUAUCUGUCACUUGUGAAAAAACAGAAAUGAGCAGAGCGAAUCAUCAUCUACUACAGUGAACACAGAGGAAUGUUCCACAUCUUCACUAUUAUCUACGGAGACCCUUGUGAUUAAUAUGGACAGCACUAAUCCACAAUCCUGAUAGCUUCUUGCCAGCAGUGUUGCACAAAGAACUGCACCGAAUUGUCUCCAAGAAGGCUUGGCCAGAUAUGCUACAUUUUGCUUUAGAAACUGCCCAAGCAAGAUUACAUUUCAAGGACUUAAUUCUUGCCCCUUCAUUCAACUAACACAUAGAUACACACGAGAUGCACCAUUGGCUCAGUCUGGCACAACCAAUUCACAUACCAUAGCAGUUUAUUUUUGUAAAUGAUUAGGAUAACCUCAUGGCAUUUUCUGCUUCUUUUCCCACAGUUGAUAUCACUAGGAUGACUUCAUCCUUAUCUCUUGUUAGACAUGUGUGGUUUGAAAUGAUGUUAUGCAGAACCAGAUGCAUGCUAGGAAAUAGAACGAGCAUUUGGAAAUCCCUUGUGAUGAAUAAAGUUGAAGGGAUAAGCUUUCUAUGUUAAAAAUGAUCAUUUGCCUUUCCUAAGCACAUGCCACCUGAGGAGCCUAAAGCACUUUGCAAACAUUAAUUAAGCCUCACAUGGCCUGUAAAGACAUCUUCAUCCCCAUGUUAUAGCUAAAACUUUUUCAUAGCAUCCAUCACUAUGGUAUCUGAAUGCUUAGUGACUUACUCGCUCACAUAGUGAGUGAUACAACUGGGAAGAGAAUGCAGAAUUCCUGACACUGCGCACGCGCACACACAAUGAAGCAGUUGAGAUUCAGCUGUGACCUUUCCUGCCUAAAGAUUUUUCUGGUGCAUGUAAAAAGGAUAAGAAAGUUAGGUUUCUAACAGGGUAAAAGUCUGGGUAUUUCCUGGCACAGCCCAUAUCAGUGACUUACUGGGAGAGUCCUGUCCCAGGGAGCACAUUUAAUUUUCACAGAUGACCUGAUUACAAAGAGAGUGGCCCAUGGGGAUGACCAGUCCCAGCAUGCAAUUGCCCAUAUCCAGCCAGAGGAGGGGCCCAGAGAUGAUGGGUUUCAGGACACAAAGCCUAAUCUAAUGUGUUGAGUGUGCUCUGGUUUCAUGUGUGGCCAAAAUGCUUAGGUUUUCAGCUUGCUUUGUUGAUUCCCCCUGCUUUGUUACACUGUGCCUUUACAUUGUAAAGUGGUUUAG
This is an RNA transcript of Mauremys reevesii (Reeves's turtle), 3036 nucleotides long. It is a transcript of the gene named adenosine deaminase-like, with no coding region annotated. The record is from RefSeq and is a predicted model, not a curated record. NCBI's taxonomy places the organism in Eukaryota, Metazoa, Chordata, Testudines, Geoemydidae. The transcript is spliced from 13 exons.